Molecule: small nuclear RNA, 128 nt
Filed under: Erinaceus europaeus (western European hedgehog)
Lineage: Eukaryota; Metazoa; Chordata; Mammalia; Eulipotyphla; Erinaceidae
Source: RNAcentral
GUGCUUGCUUCAGCAGCACAUAUACUAAAAUUAGAAAGAGACAGAGGAAGUUAGUGUUGCAGAGAGGGUUAGUGUUGCACCUGCACAAGGAUGGCAUGCAAAUUCAUGAAGAAGUGUUCCAUAUUCUU